GACGAACGCUGGCGGCGUGCCUAACACAUGCAAGUCGAGCGGAGUUAUAGCAAUAUAACUUAGCGGCGGACGGGUGAGUAACACGUGGGCAACCUGCCCUUAAGAGGGGGAUAGCCAACCGAAAGGUUGAUUAAUACCGCAUGAAACUGAUAAAUCGCAUGGUUUGUCAGUCAAAGGAGAAGUCCGCUUAAGGAGGGGCCCGCGGCCCAUUAGCUAGUUGGUGAGGUAGAGGCUCACCAAGGCGACGAUGGGUAGCCGAUCUGAGAGGAUGAACGGCCACAUUGGAACUGAGACACGGUCCAGACUCCUACGGGAGGCAGCAGUGGGGAAUAUUGCGCAAUGGGGGAAACCCUGACGCAGCAACGCCGCGUGAAGGAUGAAGGCCUUCGGGUCGUAAACUUCUUUGAUCAGGGAUGAUAAUGACAGUACCUGAAAAACAAGCCACGGCUAACUACGUGCCAGCAGCCGCCGUAAGAC
RNAcentral lists this ribosomal RNA (477 nucleotides) under uncultured bacterium. RNAcentral's name for it is "bacterial SSU rRNA". It matches the Rfam family "Bacterial small subunit ribosomal RNA", at positions 28 to 526 of the family's 1533-position model. The record is from RNAcentral.